AUGAGAGCCCUAUUCUGGAAUAUUAGAGGUUUCGGCGCUCCAGGGCGUUGGGAUCAAAUUAGAGAUAUUGUUCGAGGUGAGAAUGUAGACUUGAUUGGGCUUGUUGAAACUUUCAAGGAAUCCUUUUCUUCUAAUGAGUUUUCUGCGGUGGCGGGGGCCGAUAGAUUUGAUUGGCACUAUUUACCUUCUUCUGGACACUCGGGUGGUAUCCUUAUUGGAUCCAAGAGGGACGUUUUUUACUUUGUUGCCUUUGAUCAUGGUGUCUUUUGGGCGAGUUCUGUUUUAUUUCAUCGACAGCUUAACUCUCUUUGGGAAGUUUUGGUGGUCUACGGUCCUGCGGACCACUCUCUAUCCCCCCUCUUUCUUGAUGAGAUUUUGAAUAAAAUUGAGUCAUGCUCUCUCCCAAUGUUAAUUGGGGGAGAUUUUAACCUGCUCCGUUCUCCUAGUGACAAGAGCAGCAGUCACUUUUCUUGGCCUCUCGCGGAUUCUUUCAAUGGGUUCAUACGGGACUGUGCUCUUCGUGAACUUCCUCGGGUUGGUGCUCGUUUCAGCUAG
RNAcentral lists this ribosomal RNA (555 nucleotides) under Triticum aestivum (bread wheat). Its description in RNAcentral is "partial small subunit ribosomal RNA". Lineage: Eukaryota; Viridiplantae; Streptophyta; Magnoliopsida; Poales; Poaceae. The record is from RNAcentral.